GACGAACGCUGGCGGCGUGCUUAACACAUGCAAGUCGAACGAAGUGGCGAACGGGUGAGUAAUACGUGAGUAACCUGCCCUCCUUUUUGGGAUAAGCCUUGGAAACGGGGUCUAAUACCGAAUAAAGUGGGAUGGGCUCGCGGCCUAUCAGCUUGUUGGUGGGGUGACGGCCUACAAAGGCGGUGACGGGUCGCCGGCCUGAGAGGGUGACCGGCCACAUUGGGACUGGGAUACGGACCAGACUGCUACGGGAGGCAGCAGUGGGGGAUAUUGCAGAAUGGGCGAAAGCCUGAUGCAGCGACGGCGCGUGGGGGAUGAAGGCUUUCGGGUUGUAAACCUCUGUCGCUAUCGAAGGGGUAGGUGGAGAAGAAGCGCCGGCUAACUACGUGCCAGCAGCCGCGGUAAUUC
Molecule: ribosomal RNA, 408 nt
Filed under: uncultured bacterium
Lineage: Bacteria
Description: partial 16S ribosomal RNA
Rfam family: Bacterial small subunit ribosomal RNA
Source: RNAcentral